Molecule: small nucleolar RNA, 54 nt
Filed under: Drosophila melanogaster (fruit fly)
Lineage: Eukaryota; Metazoa; Arthropoda; Insecta; Diptera; Drosophilidae
Description: partial small nucleolar RNA snoR783
Source: RNAcentral
GGCAAAACGAGCCAUUUCCGAAUGGAUUUGGUUCAGCCAAGUGCAGCGACAGCU